This is a non-coding RNA of Perognathus longimembris pacificus (Pacific pocket mouse), 453 nucleotides long. The record is from the annotation of a RefSeq genome assembly. NCBI's taxonomy places the organism in Eukaryota, Metazoa, Chordata, Mammalia, Rodentia, Heteromyidae.
AUGGACAUGAGGGCCCCUGCUCAGCUCCUGGGGCUCCUGCUGCUCUGGCUCCCAGGUGCCCGAUGUGACAUCCAGUUGACCCAGUCUCCAUCCCUGUCUGCAUCUCUGGGAGACAGAGUCGCCAUCAGUUGCAGGGCCAGUCAGGGCAUUAGCAAUUAUUUACAUUGGUACCAACAGACACCAGGGAAAGCUCCCAAGCUCCUGAUCAGUUAUGCAACUAUUCUGGCAUCUGGGGUUUCAUCCAGGUUCAGUGGCAGUGGAUCUGGGACAGAGUUCACUCUCACCAUCAGCAGCCUCCAGCCUGAAGAUGUUGCCACUUAUUACUGCCAACAUAGUUACGGUAUUCCUCCCACAGUGAUAGAAGUCAUAACAAAAACCUCCCAAGGCAGCAGAAGUGAGAGGCUGGGCUGCCCCAGCUGCUCCUCCUGCUGCCUCCACUGAUGACAGAACUGC